UUGGAGGGCAAGUCUGGUGCCAGCAGCCGCGGUAAUUCCAGCUCCAAUGGCGUAUAUUAAAGUUGUUGCAGUUAAAAAGCUCGUAGUUGAACCUCGGGGUCUACCCAUUGGUCAGGCUUAAUUGUCUGCACUGGUGAGAUGGACCUCUACCUUCUGAGGAACUUUCAUGCCAUUCAUUUGGUGUGAUGGGAAAUCAGGACUGUUACUUUGAAAAAAUUAGAGUGUUUAAAGCAGACUAUCGUCUGAAUACAUUAGCAUGGAAUAAUGAAAUAGGACGGACUGAUUCUAUUUCGUUGGUUUCUAGGAUCACCGUAAUGAUUAAUAGGGAUAGUUGGGGGCAUUAGUAUUCAAUUGUCAGAGGUGAAAUUCUUGGAUUUAUUGAAGACUAACUACUGCGAAAGCAUUUGCCAAGGAUGUUUUCAUUAAUCAAGAACGAAAGUUAGGGGAUCGAAGACGAUCAGAUACCGUCGUAGUCUUAACCAUAAACUAUGCCGACUAGGGAUCGGACGAAGUUAAUUUUAUAAUGACGCGUUCGGCGCCUUACGGGAAAC
Molecule: ribosomal RNA, 551 nt
Filed under: uncultured Diversispora
Lineage: Eukaryota; Fungi; Glomeromycota; Glomeromycetes; Diversisporales; Diversisporaceae
Description: SSU rRNA
Rfam family: Eukaryotic small subunit ribosomal RNA
Source: RNAcentral